CUUCCACUCAAGUUUAUUAGGAGAUUGUUACAACUACUUUUUAAUUAGUUCUUGGUUAGUUGAGGGAUCAAGAAGGAUUCUUGAUUUCUUCAAGAAUAAAAAAAAUAUUAAAUAAGGGUUGGUUCAUUCAAGAAUUAAGAAAAAUAGAUCAAGGGUUGAUCCCUAUCCAGGCUUGGUUCAAGCCUAUUCAGACUUUGAGUUUAAGUGAGUUGUUUUAGUAGGAGCCAAUCC
This 231-nucleotide long non-coding RNA is filed under the name Elaeis guineensis (African oil palm). RNAcentral describes it as "long non-coding RNA (EGUI_LNC059664)". The record is from RNAcentral. Lineage: Eukaryota; Viridiplantae; Streptophyta; Magnoliopsida; Arecales; Arecaceae.